GAAAGGACUGCUACUUUGUUCUACGAAAAUGAUAGAAAAUAUGAAAGAUAUAAAAUUAUUUGUUUCUAGGUUAAAAUGUUAGCCAAUCAAUGGGAAAGGUGAGAGGUCAGGGGCGGGGGCAAAUCCUGCGUAAGGAAAAGUCACGCUCUCUUUCGGCUGCAGGCGAUAUACGGAGAAGAUCACACUGGAGAACUGUAAAGUGGUUAAUGCUACUUUUCGUGUUUAAGUAAUACUUAAUGGUUGUCAGACCGAUAACCUAUCCGUUACUUUGCAUGCGGAAGAAGUCGGUAUCACAUAGAGACAUUUUCAAAACGAAUUAGUCAGAAUAGCUCAGCUAAUAGUAUAGCCUGAAAAGUUAGCAACUCGGUAGCUGGGACUAUGUUAGGCUAACUGACUUCGUCAACAAUGAGUUGCCUCUGAGGAACAAGACUGCGAGACUAACCGGAGGAAGACAGCUUGCUGUUUGAACUGAUACGCGAACUACAGCGUCGCGUGAGCAACUGCGCCACCGAGAGCGCGUGAGCAGGGCUGCAGUGACGGUGCAUGGACCCUCUCUGGGCACGGACAUCCCCAUCAACCUCGUGAGUGAAUUGGUUUGGUUUUGUUGCGCGAUUCGCAUGAAGCGGCCAAUACAGUUUUAAGGCCUCAACGUCCCCAAGCUACGAUUCAGGCCUGCAUCAGGAACAGUGGUGUGUGUGGGGUUUAUAGAAAUUCUGGUGUGCCGGCUUAGACAAAAUUCUUGGUACAAGCCCCUGCACAAACCCAAUGGAUGUCAUAGAAGAUGAUCAUGGUCAGAAAUCAUCAUCGUUGUCGUCAUCGGCAGUUACUCGAGUCAAGUAUGACUGUCUUCCAUGGGGUUAGAAGUUGGUGGAUCUGCAGAUGGCAGGAGAGGCCAAUCUGUAACCUGAAUAUUGGAUUCCUUGUGGAAAUCUAUAACAUUGACCAUACUAAUUACUGUUUUGUGAAGGUGCUGCCAAGAUGACAGACGGUACCUAUAUGUUAACUCCUUUUACACCUGCUGAUGACCGGUUGGCUCCACAGGUUUAAGCAAACAAAUUUUGUGCACCUCAUUGUGUUAAGUAGUGUGAAAGGCUUAGUUUUCUUUUGACCCUACUAUGUCAAAAGAAUCAAAUAUUAAUUUGAUUUGGGAUAUAUUAAUUGUAAUUUCUUGAAUUUCAGAUAACCUCAUUUACCUGAAUGUACAGUCACCAUGCACUUUAAUAGGAACACCUGUACACCUGCACAUUUAUGCAGUUAUCCAGUCAGCCAGUCAUGUGGCAGCAGGUUCAUGUGCCAGUGUCAUGUGACAAGAGCUUCAGUUAAUGUUCACAUGAAACAUCAGAAUGAAGAAAAAAAAAAUGAUGUUUGUGAUUUUGAUCAUGGCAUUAUUGUUGCUACCAGAUGGGCUGGUUUGAGUAUUUCACAUACUGCUGAUCUCCUGGGAAUUCACACACAACAGCCUCAUGAGUUUACACUGAAUGGUUGUAAAAAUUAAAAAAAAUUAAAAAAAAAACAUUAAGUGAGUGGCAGUUCUGUAGGUGGAAAUGCCUUGUUGAUGAGCAAGAUUAGAGGAGAAUGACCAGAAUAAACUGACAGGAAGUCUAUAGUAACUGAAAUAAUCACUCUUUAUAACAAUUAUGAGCAGAAAAAAACGUAUCAGAACACACAACACAUCAAACCUUUAGGUGGAGUGGCUAUACCAGCAGAAGACCACAUCAGGUUCCACUUCUGUCAGUCAGGAUUAUGAAUCUGAGGCUAUCAUGGGUGGACUUGCCCAAACUGGACGAUUGAGGAUUAGAAAAAAAAAUCCCAGUCUUGAGUGUAUAUCAAGAAAAAAAUCAAGAGGAUGCAAGUGGAUGCCGACCACCCUGCAACUCUGAAAAACAAAUCUCCAUGCUAAUAGGCAACCAAUAUGCAGUGAUAGGUAUUCGGUUUGUUUUUGUUGAUAAACUUGUGGUCACAUCCAUUAAAGUACAUAGAUUAUGGAGUAACUAAUCUGAAAUGUAAGUAAAAGUCAAAUAAAAACUCUUGAGACAGUUGAAACAAAUGAUUUGCAUACAGAAAGCAAUUAUACGACACUUUAAAAUUAUGCUUAAAUUUUUAUACUAGUUGGUGCAAAUUCCUAAGAAUAUACAAUGAGAUUAUUCUAGUUAAAAACCCUCUUGGAAUCCACCUUGAAUUAAAUGGUGGGUACACAUUCUCUACAAUAAAUCUGCCCUAGAAGACUGAUGAUAUAAUAGGGAACCAUGAUGAACUUUAAAAUAAUGUGAUAGUAUUUCUCUAACUGAAAAACAAGUGAAAAGGAAGAGUAUGUGGCAUCCGUGUGUGUGUGCAUGUACAGGGCAUUGACUGGGAGCAGGCUGUUUGUUCCAUCUGAAUCACAAAACAACAAGGAACCUGACAGAAAUCAAGUAUUCUGUGUCUGCAGUUCUACUGCUUCCCUAGGAGACCCGAUAGCUAGCGGAAGUGCUGCAGGCAGAUUUCCAGGUAUUAAUAAAGAUGUGUACAGUUCCUGCUGUGGCAUGAGUAUGCUUGGGGAAAAAAGGCAAAUAACAACAAUGAUUUUGCAAGCAAACCUCACAAGAAGAGCUUAAAGGAUCGGUUUUAUAGACCGUGUGCGUUUGCAAAGUGAGUUGAGAAAUAGCUAGCUUGCAAGUAAUCAAAUAAAUAUGAAAAUACUUGUACUCUGACUGUGCUAGCAUACUAAUAUAUGACAGUGUAUGGAGGCAGAAGCUUGGGGCUUCACUUUUGUGUGGUUGUCAAAAUGAAUGAAGUUAAUCCUAUGAGCAACUUGAGAUGCCGCAGUUGCUACAGUCGAUAUUAAACUUAUAAGGAGAGACAUAAUUUCAGGCUACUACUGAGUAGGAAUAUAUGCAUUCAUUCAUUCAUCUUCAGUAACCUGUGAAUCUGGAGACCUUCCCAGGAACACUGGGUGCAUGGUAUAAGUAGAAACAUGUUGGUUUAAAACAUUAAUAACAUUUGAAAAAAACAUCAAUACCUGACUUUAUUAAUACUAGUUUGCAAUGUUGAAAAGUGAUGUCUUGACCAGAUUCCAUCACACAAACAUUUUUGUUAAGCCAAAUCAGGGCUAAGUCUGCCUAGUCUGUGGGAUCAGCAAUAUCUUCAAGUUGUAGACUUUCUGCCUAAGGUUCUUAUGAUAUAUUUAUCAGAUUAGGGCAGAUAUAAAGUAUAUUUAAUGUUUCUAGUACAACAUUGCCCAUCAGUGCUGUCUGUCAUUCAGAGAACAGCAGAGAAGGUCUCGUGAUUGUAAAUUCAUAACAAUUCACAUCAAUCAAACAGUAGUUUGAGAAAAAAAAGUCAUCAUUCAGAGCAGUGGUGCCUGGUGGUUUUUUAAAAUAGGGGAAGGGAACUGCCUGUCAGCAGACAAAGCCAGCAGUACAUGUGCUUUUUCACAGCAAUUUUACUGUACCAAGAAAGAUCAAAGGAUCUGCUUUUUGCUUUCUGACCUCAACUAAAUCAACUUUGGAUGUUUAUCUGCCCUCUAACAUUAGCAGUGUCUGCCAUGUCAUGCUAAAAAGCAGGUAGCUAAAUUCCCUGAAGAGCUAGUGACAGUUAUGAGGUACUGUCCCUUUGAGAGGUCUCCCAAUCAUUGUGUGUAGAAGCCAGGCAUCCGAGCAGGAUAAUCCUGCAUUCAUGAACAGCGUACUGUCCAAUUAAUCUUGAGAUUUGUUUUUUUCUUAUACAAAAAACAUCCAUGAUACAAUUGUUGACUCCCAGCAUAAACAGCACCCUCAGGUGGACUGGAGGAACAAUUUUAUACUAUCUAUAAAAGUGCAUUUAUGAUCACUGUUGCCAGCAUGAUUUUGUCGCUAGAUUUUUAGAUACCUUUUGAAACUUUCAGUCAGGUUCACUCAACUCUCCACCAGUAUGUAAAUCCUAAAUUGCACAAGCUGAUGUUUCUAAUGACGAAAUCACUGAUUAACAUUGUAAUGACCAGUCACUGAUAAGCUUGUUUCACAAUGACCAAUCACUGAUCAACUUUUUUCACAAUGACCAAUCACAGAUCAUCAAGUAAUAGAAGUGAGUUAUUCUAUUCAUUUUGCCAUUUUCUUCAUGUCUCUUUUCUGAGUACUUGCUACCACUGCUUCAUUUUGUCUCAAUUAUUAUUUAAAAAAGUAUAAUAUUUUGUAUAUAUGUAGUUAGAUUCUAUUUAGUAAAUAUGUAGAUAAGUUUGUAAGGCCAUGACAAAAGAUUUCUUCUUUCUUUAAGGAAUAACAUAUAAUUAAUAUUCUCUUUUCUAAAGUCUUCAAAAAUUCUUCCCUCUUCAUAUAACAUAUCUUGAUAUGCAAAUUAUCACACCAUUGCAUGAUCAAUUAAUAUGCAAAUUAGUCCAAUUGACACCAUCUUAACUUCUAACUUAUUUUUGAACAUGCUACUUUCCUCUGAAAAGAGUUGGCAACACUGUUUAUGAUUAUAGUUUUUAGCUCACACUCUACUGAGACAGCUUCAAGAUCUAUGGCCAUUGAAAUAAUUUGUCACAGCACAAUAACAAGACAGGCUUUUAUCACAGCUUUCAAAUCUGUAUGCAUGUCACAAUGCUCUGUUUUCUGCUAAGCUCUCUCGCCUGAUCCUAAUUUAUCAGAAUUGUCAAUCGGGUUCUUUAUGUUUCUUUUGUUCUCUGAACUGUUCAAAUUGUGCAGAAGUCGCUUCUUUCAUAAUAUCCCCAGUGGCCUAUAUCCUAUCUCCAGAUUCUGAUGACGAGGGGUAUUAAAAUUUUGCAAGCAUUUAAUUGGAACAAAGUAACUGUAUGAACACAUUACUCCAAUUGUAUCAUCUCUACACUGGUUACCUGUUAAGCUCUGUAUUGAUUAUACAACUGCUACUCACCUAUAAAGCCCUAAACAUCCAAGCUCCUUUAUAUUUAACCCAUCACAUUACAAUCCUUCACACUCUUUAAUGUCGUAAAACUUGUGAUAAUACAAAGGAUAUCAAAGUCUACCAAAGGAGGUAGAGUGUUUUCACAUUUAGCUCCUAAACUCCGGAAUAGCCUUCCUGAUAAUGUUCGUGGUUCAGACACACUCUCUCAGUUUAAAUCUAGAUUAAAAACAAAAUUGCUAUGAUUGUAAAUUUCUUUAACAUAGCAAUCACAUAACACAUCUCAUAACCUUGCACUACAAUCAUCAGUGAUAAAACAAAAACAAUUGCACAUGGUUAUCUCUGCCUGAAAUUCAAUGAACUGCAGCCACGCUAAUCCUUCUCCAUUUGUUUCCUGUUCCUACCUCAGGAUGCCCAUCCUGAGGUAAUCAUUGAAUGUGCUAGCUCCAGCUCAGAAGCAGCCUCUACAAAGAUUCCAGAUGACAUCAACGCCUGCAAAGACUUUGGAUGAUACCAACACUCUACAAUAGAUAGCAAUGGGAUAGCAGUGGGCCUGAACUGUUCUGCUCUCCGGGCCGGCCUGGACUGUCCUGGUGACCUGCUUCUGGUGUUCUCGUCGCUUGGAGGCCAGUCACUGUUGCUGAGGAUGGCCCCAUAUGGACAGCCUAUCGACACUUGGAAGCCGUGGAGAUGGCAUUGGACUGCAACUGAUGUGAGCAGUUUUGGUGUGGUGUGUUUUUGGGCCCAGGUCUCAAAAGUAAAUGUAAAACUAACUCUCUAAAAUAUGUACUGUGUAAUGACCAGAAUUUCUAAAUGUGAGUAUAAUGUGUGCUGCUAUAUUGCUUAUUUGAUUGUAAGACCUACAAUCUGAAAAGUUUUGUCAUUUCAAGCCUGUCAUGUCAGACCAAAUCAGCAACUCCAUUCCCCAGAAUGCACCACCAACUACAAACAUGGUAGAAGAGGACUACACUUCCCAUACACAUACAUGUUCACCUUCUCCGAAGUUCUAAUCAGAGACGCCUGUUCCCAUUUAUACUCACAAUCACACUACACAUAAAAGAGACUGUUUGAACACUCUUUUUUUAAUUUAUUUAUUUAUUUAUUUAUUUAUUUAUUUAUUUAUUUUACUUUUACGUUUAUGAAUUAGACUCUUCGCCCUGCCCUGUUUAUGCUGUUUGCCUGAUUGCCUGACCUCUACCUGUUCAUGAUUAUUGUCUUCUGCCUUAUCCUUUGGACUUGUUGUUAUUGUUGUUGUUGUUGUUGUUGUUGUUGUAUUAAACUGCCAUACCUGUAUUUGCUUCUGUCUGUGCCUCCAUUACGUGACAAAACCUCAUACCAGGCUACUGGUGCUGUGUUUAUAUAUUCUUCCUCCCUGAUGUAAGAUGUUAAUUCUUACCCAACACAAAUGGGAUUAAUCAGGAUGAAUACAUUGGAGUAGGGUCAUGCAGUUAUUCCAAAUCCAAACUCACAUUUAAAUUUUUAAAGAGGACACUUUAAAUAUUUAAAUAAAUAAAUAAAUAAAAAUAAAAUAAAAUAAAAUAAACUUGGAUUCAUCCUAUACAGGGUGAACAUAAAAUCCCACUAAAAUGACAGAAUUACUGGUAAUCUGUGGGUGUGUGAGAUGUGUCUUGUGAGU
This is a long non-coding RNA of Ictalurus punctatus (channel catfish), 6472 nucleotides long. Lineage: Eukaryota; Metazoa; Chordata; Actinopteri; Siluriformes; Ictaluridae. The record is from Ensembl.